RNAcentral lists this transfer-messenger RNA (350 nucleotides) under Breznakiella homolactica. Its description in RNAcentral is "Standard tmRNA". It matches the Rfam family "transfer-messenger RNA". From Rfam's summary of the family: Bacterial tmRNA, also known as 10Sa RNA or SsrA, is named for its dual tRNA and mRNA-like properties. The record is from Rfam by way of RNAcentral. Lineage: Bacteria; Pseudomonadati; Spirochaetota; Spirochaetia; Treponematales; Breznakiellaceae.
GGGGGUGCACCGGUUUCGACUGGUACGGUUCGGGAUGCAGGCUGCAGGUGGAGUGCCGACCUCCUAACAUUCGGCAAAAAUUUAACUGCCGACAACGACAGUUACGCUCUCGCUGCAUAAACAGCGGAACGCGGGAACCGGCUCCGCCGCCUUGAGGAACCGAAUUCCCGUCGCAAUCGAGGCUGGUCAAGCUCCGGGUCCGGACGGGGUGCGAUGAGAUUUUCCCGGAAUACGGAAACACCGCGUGCCGUGUAGCCAAGCGUUUCCCGACAAUCUGAUACACGACUAAACCUGUAGAUGCCUGUAUUCCGCGUAUUAGGACGCGGGUUCGAUUCCCGCCACCUCCAAAA